GCGGGAGUCGCCCAGCUUGGCCAAAGGCGUAAGGUUGAGGGCCUUAUCCCUAAGGGGUUCGUGGGUUCAAAUCCCAUCUCCCGCA
RNAcentral lists this transfer RNA (85 nucleotides) under Candidatus Nitrosocosmicus sp. RNAcentral describes it as "tRNA-Leu". It matches the Rfam family "tRNA". From Rfam's summary of the family: Transfer RNA (tRNA) molecules are approximately 80 nucleotides in length. Their secondary structure includes four short double-helical elements and three loops (D, anti-codon, and T loops). The record is from RNAcentral. Lineage: Archaea; Thermoproteati; Nitrososphaerota; Nitrososphaeria; Nitrososphaerales; Nitrososphaeraceae. RNAcentral also lists the same sequence under 2 other names.